Molecule: ribosomal RNA, 486 nt
Filed under: uncultured Actinomycetes bacterium
Lineage: Bacteria; Bacillati; Actinomycetota; Actinomycetes
Description: bacterial SSU rRNA
Rfam family: Bacterial small subunit ribosomal RNA
Source: RNAcentral
GCCGCGUGGGGGANGACGGCCUUCGGGUUGUAAACCUCUUUCAAUAGGGACGAAGCGCAAGUGACGGUACCUAUAGAAGAAGCGCCGGCCAACUACGUGCCAGCAGCCGCGGUAAUACGUAGGGUGCGAGCGUUGUCCGGAAUUACUGGGCGUAAAGAGCUCGUAGGUGGUUUGUCGCGUUGUUCGUGAAAUGCCACAGCUUAACUGUGGGCGUGCGGGCGAUACGGGCAGACUGGAGUACUGCAGGGGAGACUGGAAUUCCUGGUGUGGCGGUGGAAUGCGCAGAUAUCAGGAGGAACACCGGUGGCGAGGGCGGGUCUCUGGGCAGUAACUGACGCUGAGGAGCGAAAGCGUGGAGAGCGAACAGGAUUAGAUACCCUGGUAGUCCACGCCGUAAACGGUGGGUACUAGGUGUGGGUUUCCUUCCUUGGGAUCCGUGCCGUAGCUAACGCAUUAAGUACCCCGCCUGGGGAGUACGGCCGCAAG